Molecule: ribosomal RNA, 253 nt
Filed under: uncultured bacterium
Lineage: Bacteria
Description: partial 16S ribosomal RNA
Rfam family: Bacterial small subunit ribosomal RNA
Source: RNAcentral
UACGAAGGGGGCUAGCGUUGCUCGGAAUCACUGGGCGUAAAGGGUGCGUAGGCGGCUCUUUAAGUCGGGGGUGAAAUCCUGGAGCUCAACUCCAGAACUGCCUUCGAUACUGAAGAGCUUGAGUCCGGGAGAGGUGAGUGGAACUGCGAGUGUAGAGGUGAAAUUCGUAGAUAUUCGCAAGAACACCAGUGGCGAAGGCGGCUCACUGGCCCGGUACUGACGCUGAGGUGCGAAAGCGUGGGGAGCAAACAGG